RNAcentral lists this ribosomal RNA (460 nucleotides) under uncultured bacterium. Its description in RNAcentral is "partial 16S ribosomal RNA". It matches the Rfam family "Bacterial small subunit ribosomal RNA", at positions 338 to 795 of the family's 1533-position model. The record is from RNAcentral.
CCUACGGGUGGCAGCAGUGAGGAAUAUUGGUCAAUGGGCGCGAGCCUGAACCAGCCAAGUCGCGUGAGGGAGGACGGCCCUACGGGUUGUAAACCUCUUUUGCCGGGGAGCAACGGGCGUCACGUGUGGCGCCACUGAGAGUACCCGGAGAAAAAGCACAGGCUAACUCCGUGCCAGCAGCCGCGGUAAUACGGAGGAUGCGAGCGUUAUCCGGUUUUAUUGGGUUUAAAGGAGGCGUAGGCGGAUCGUUAAGUCAGUGGGUAAAUUGAGGGGCUCAACCUCUUCCCGCCAUUGAAACUGGCGCUCUUGAGUGGAAGAGAAGUAUGCGGAAUGCGUGGUGUAGCGGUGAAAUGCAUAGAUAUCACGCAGAACUCCGAUUGCGAAGGCAGCUUACUAAGCCAUAACUGACACUGAAGCACGAAAGCGUGGGGAUCAAACAGGAUUAGAUACCCUAGUAGUC